Molecule: long non-coding RNA, 529 nt
Filed under: Carassius auratus (goldfish)
Lineage: Eukaryota; Metazoa; Chordata; Actinopteri; Cypriniformes; Cyprinidae
Description: lncRNA (ENSCARG00000014729.1)
Source: RNAcentral
CAUUUUUUGACAUAUACUAAAGCAUUUUUAGAAAAUGGAGUUCACCCUAAAUGUAUCAAUUAUCUCUUGUUCCUCUUGUAUCCCACUUUUCUUAGGCGUUUGAAGAGAGGCAGUUAACAGCAGGAAGCCCAGGAUCCAUCCUGAUGUCUCCCCUCUCUCAGUACCCCCUGCCGAGCCAUAAAAUGUGUGUGUUUCAGAGACUGUCUGGUCCAUUACACCCUUAGCCACUGUGUCUCGGGGCAGGACUGGUUAAUGUUGAUGAUCAAGGAGUGUUGAGGACAGGACCUGGUACAGGCCAUGCUAUUUUGGAGGGUUAUGCCAUAGACAUUUGUGGUAUCUACCAAACACUGCUGAUCAUUGUGGAGGUAAGAGUGGAGCAUGUGUCCAUUCCUCCCGCUGAUAGGCUCCUCACUAAUUGGUCUGAAGUCUCAUAAUAUACAGCCAGAGCGGAUCUGAACACAGCUCAACGCAAUCUAGAGCAGUGGGGAGGCCAUACAACCUGAGGCAGAGCUACUGCGCUCGCUACACU